GACGAACGCUGGCGGCGUGCCUAAUACAUGCAAGUCGAACGAGAGCGACCGGUGUUUGCACUGGUCAAUCUAGUGGCGAACGGGUGAGUAACACGUGGGUAACCUGUCCAUCAGAGGGGGAUAACAUCCGGAAACGGACGCUAAAACCGCAUAGGUCUUCGAACCGCAUGGUUUGAAGAGGAAAAGAGGCGCAAGCUUCUGCUGAUGGAUGGACCCGCGGUGCAUUAGCUAGUUGGUGAGGUAACGGCCCACCAAGGCCGUGAUGCAUAGCCGACCUGGGGGGGGAAUGGGCCACAUGGGGACUGGACAACGGCCCAAACUCCUACGGGAGGAAGCGGUAGGGAAUCUUCCGCAAUGGACGCAAGUCUGACGGGGCAACGCCGCGGGAGUGAAGAGGGUUUUCGGAUCGUAAGACUCUGUUGUUAGGGAGGAACAAGUGCUAGAGUAACUGUUAGCGCCUUGACGGUAUCUAACCAGAAAGCCACGGCUAACUACGUG
This 498-nucleotide ribosomal RNA is filed under the name uncultured bacterium. RNAcentral describes it as "partial 16S ribosomal RNA". It matches the Rfam family "Bacterial small subunit ribosomal RNA", at positions 28 to 507 of the family's 1533-position model. The record is from RNAcentral.